Molecule: unclassified non-coding RNA, 348 nt
Filed under: Fusarium sp. 1s MS-2015
Lineage: Eukaryota; Fungi; Ascomycota; Sordariomycetes; Hypocreales; Nectriaceae
Description: sequence contains 18S rRNA gene, ITS1, 5.8S rRNA gene, ITS2 and 28S rRNA gene
Rfam family: 5.8S ribosomal RNA (bases 81-234)
Source: RNAcentral
GUAAAACGGGACGGCCCGCCCGAGGACCCCUAAACUCUGUUUUUAGUGGAACUUCUGAGUAAAACAAACAAAUAAAUCAAAACUUUCAACAACGGAUCUCUUGGUUCUGGCAUCGAUGAAGAACGCAGCAAAAUGCGAUAAGUAAUGUGAAUUGCAGAAUUCAGUGAAUCAUCGAAUCUUUGAACGCACAUUGCGCCCGCCAGUAUUCUGGCGGGCAUGCCUGUUCGAGCGUCAUUUCAACCCUCAAGCUCAGCUUGGUGUUGGGACUCGCGGUAACCCGCGUUCCCCAAAUCGAUUGGCGGUCACGUCGAGCUUCCAUAGCGUAGUAAUCAUACACCUCGUUACUGG